This 433-nucleotide ribosomal RNA is filed under the name uncultured bacterium. Its description in RNAcentral is "partial 16S ribosomal RNA". It matches the Rfam family "Bacterial small subunit ribosomal RNA", at positions 29 to 507 of the family's 1533-position model. The record is from RNAcentral.
AACGAACGCUGGCGGCAUGCCUAACACAUGCAAGUCGAACGAGACCUUCGGGUCUAGUGGCGCACGGGUGCGUAACGCGUGGGAACCUGCCCUUAGGUUCGGAAUAACUCCCCGAAAGGGGUGCUAAUACCGGAUAAUGUCUUCGGACCAAAGAUUUAUCGCCUUUGGAUGGGCCCGCGUUGGAUUAGCUAGUUGGUAGGGUAAAAGCCUACCAAGGCGACGAUCCAUAGCUGGUCUGAGAGGAUGAUCAGCCACACUGGGACUGAGACACGGCCCAGACUCCUACGGGAGGCAGCAGUGGGGAAUAUUGGACAGUGGGCGAAAGCCUGAUCCAGCACUGCCGCGUGAGUGAUGAAGGCCUUAGGGUUGUAAAGCUCUUUUACCCGGGAUGAUAAUGACAGUACCGGGAGAAUAAGCUCCGGCUAACUCCGUG